RNAcentral lists this long non-coding RNA (1079 nucleotides) under Manacus vitellinus (golden-collared manakin). RNAcentral describes it as "lncRNA (ENSMVIG00005011033.1)". The record is from RNAcentral. Lineage: Eukaryota; Metazoa; Chordata; Aves; Passeriformes; Pipridae.
CCAAAUUAUUCCCAAAAAAAAGGGUUUAAAUUCCAAAAAAAGGGUUUAAAAUCCCAAUUUAUUCCCACAAUUUUCCCUCAAUUUUCCCACCUUUUUUCCCACAUUUUCCCCUCAAUUUUCCCUCAAUUUUCCCACAUUUUCCCCCCAUUUUCCCACCUUUUUUCCCACCAUUUUCCCUCAUUUUUCCCUCAAUUUUCCCACCAUUUUCCCUCCAUUUUCCCACCAUUUUCCCCUCAAUUUUCCCACCAUUUUCCCACCAUUUUCCCACCAUUUUCCCACCUUUUUUCCCACAUUUUCCCCUCAAUUUUCCUUCAAUUUCCCCUCAAUUUUCCCACCAUUUUCCCUCAAUUUUCCCUCAAUUUUCCCACCUUUUUUCCCACAUUUUCCCCUCAAUUUUCCCACCAUUUUCCCACAUUUUUCCCACCAUUUUCCCCUCAAUUUUCCCACCAUUUUCCCACCAUUUCCCCUCAAUUUUCCCUCCAUUUUCCCACCAUUUUCCCACCUUUUUUCCCUCAAUUUUCCCACCAUUUUCCCUCCAUUUUCCCACCAUUUUUCCCUCAAUUUUCCCUCAAUUUUUCCACAUUUUCCCACCUUUUUUCCCUCAAUUUUCCCACCAUUUUCCCACAUUUUCCCCUCAAUUUUCCCACCAUUUUCCCUCCAUUUUCCCACCUUUUUUCCCACAUUUUCCCCUCAAUUUUCCCUUCAUUUUCCCACCAUUUUCCCACCAUUUUCUCACCAUUUUCCCUCCAUUUUCCCACCUUUUUCCCUCAAUUUUCCCACCAUUUUCCCACCAUUUCCCCCCUUUUUUCCCUCCAUUUUCCCACCAUUUUCCCACAUUUUUCCCACCAUUUUUCCACCUUUUUUCCCUCAAUUUUCCCACCAUUUUCCCACCAUUUUCCCACAUUUUUCCCACCAUUUUCCCACAUUUUUCCCUCAAUUUUCCCACAUUUUCCCACCAUUUUCCCACCUUUUUUCCCACCAUUUUCCCACCAUUCCCCUGGGUUUUUUUUGGGAAUUCCACCUCUUCCCCCCCCCCUUUUUCCCCAACAUUCCCUACUUUUCCCUCUACUUCCCAGAUU